UCUUUUUAAAGCUUAAUUAGUAAAGUGUUUCAUUUACAUUGAAAGGAAAUUUGUGCAAUUCAAUUUAAAAAGA
Molecule: transfer RNA, 73 nt
Filed under: Bittacomorphella fenderiana
Lineage: Eukaryota; Metazoa; Arthropoda; Insecta; Diptera; Ptychopteridae
Description: tRNA-Val
Rfam family: tRNA
About the family: Transfer RNA (tRNA) molecules are approximately 80 nucleotides in length. Their secondary structure includes four short double-helical elements and three loops (D, anti-codon, and T loops).
Source: RNAcentral